GAGUAGAGCAGCUCUGGGAAAAAGAGAGCCAAUGUUUUGCUCCUUGGAGGCACACGUCUUGCCGUCCCGAGUCAGCGAACGAGCACACCUGUGACCCACCGCACGGGCGACGAAAACCGGAGACCGGGAAAAUGGCUUCCCUCUUUGAGUUCCUGAGAAAGAGCAAACUUUCUAUGUGCUUCUCUUUAAAAUGCAACAAUGUAAAGGUCACAGAGGAGGAGAUGAAACUCAGAGUUGUAAUAAGGCAGGAGAAAUAAAAAAUAAUGACAGAAAUAAAUUGUCAUAAGAGGGGAU
Molecule: long non-coding RNA, 294 nt
Filed under: Homo sapiens (human)
Lineage: Eukaryota; Metazoa; Chordata; Mammalia; Primates; Hominidae
Description: HSALNT0169964
Source: RNAcentral